ACACCAGUGGCGAAGGCGCUCUACUGGACCGAAACUGACACUGAGGGACGAAAGCUAGGGGAGCGAAAGGGAUUAGAUACCCCUGUAGUCCUAGCUGUAAACGAUGGAUACUAGGCGUUGCUUGUAUCGACCCGAGCAGUGCCGAAGCUAACGCGUUAAGUAUCCCGCCUGGGGAGUACGCACGCAAGUGUGAAACUCAAAGGAAUUGACGGGGGCCCGCACAAGCGGUGGAGUAUGUGGUUUAAUUCGAUGCAACGCGAAGAACCUUACCAGGGCUUGACAUCCCGCGAAUCUUUCCGAAAGGAGAGAGUGCCUUAGGGAACGCGGAGACAGGUGGUGCAUGGCUGUCGUCAGCUCGUGUCGUGAGAUGUUGGGUUAAGUCCCGCAACGAGCGCAACCCUCGUCCUUAGUUGCCAGUAUUAAGUUGGGCACUCUAGGGAGACUGCCGGGGACAACUCGGAGGAAGGUGGGGAUGACGUCAAGUCAGCAUGCCCCUUACGUUCUGGGCUACACACGUACUACAAUGGUUGAGACAAAGGGCAGCGAACUCGCAAGAGACAGCGAAUCCCAGCAAACUCAGCCUCAGUUCAGAUUGCAGGCUGCAACUCGCCUGCAUGAAGGAGGAAUCGCUAGUAAUCGCAGGUCAGCAUACUGCGGUGAAUUCGUUCCCGGGCCUUGUACACACCGCCCGUCACACCAUGGAAGCUGGCUGCGCCCGAAGUCAUUACCCUAACCCGAAGAGGGAGGGGGAUGCCGAAGGUAGAGCUGGUGACUGGGGUGAAGUCGUAACAAGGUAACCA
This 800-nucleotide ribosomal RNA is filed under the name uncultured bacterium. RNAcentral describes it as "bacterial SSU rRNA". It matches the Rfam family "Bacterial small subunit ribosomal RNA", at positions 706 to 1502 of the family's 1533-position model. The record is from RNAcentral.